UGCAUAUAUGUAGUGUGGUACACACGUGAAAGUCAGAGGAUGAUUUGGGGGAAUCGGUUCUUCUACCAUGUGGGUCCCAGACACUGAAUUCAGGUCAUUACAUUAGCCUUGAUGACAGGCAUCUUUACCCACUGGCCAUCCUGUAGGCCCAGAGAGGGGGAAUUUACAUAAACGAAUACCUAAUAAGCCCUUUCAUGCCCUAGUCCCUGUGUGGGGAUGAUCUCACACCCCUGCCUGUCCCCAGCGAGAUCCUCAUGUCUGAUGAACUGUCUGCUCUCACCACUCCCUGAGGGAAGAUGACCAACAACUCUCCCAGCAAUCUUGACAUUCUUAGCAGAUGCUAAAGAUGGACCUUCUGAGCCAAGCCAAACCCUCAAAAAGCCCUUCUCUCGACGGAAGAAUCAUCUCCUUCGCUCCAUGUCUGUCCUGGACAAGGAAUCCAGUAGAAUUUCCUGCAAUGAAUAGAGGUCUUCAGUAUCUGCACUGUUCAACAUGGUGGCCGUUUGCCCCUGUGCUUUGAGCAGCUGAGGCACUGAAUGGCAGCCAUGUGCCAAAGAGAUUCAGAAGAGUCACCUGUGUCCUGUGGAGACCGGGCCAUGAGUACAGAUGCAGGCCAUCUACUGAGAAGUACUUAAGUAAUGUUAGCAGCCACAACAGUGAGAAAAGUUAUGACAUAUACAAAAUCCUCCUGCCUCCGCCUCUGGAAUAGCUGAGAAUAUAAAUCAGUGCCUCUGGAUAACAGGUUUGUCUGCACCAUUCUUAAUAUCUCCUGAGCCACAGCUCAAGAAAAAAGAGCCGU
This 799-nucleotide long non-coding RNA is filed under the name Mus spicilegus (steppe mouse). RNAcentral describes it as "lncRNA (ENSMSIG00000012770.1)". Lineage: Eukaryota; Metazoa; Chordata; Mammalia; Rodentia; Muridae. The record is from RNAcentral.